This 320-nucleotide ribosomal RNA is filed under the name uncultured eukaryote. RNAcentral describes it as "partial 18S ribosomal RNA". It matches the Rfam family "Eukaryotic small subunit ribosomal RNA", at positions 1470 to 1796 of the family's 1831-position model. The record is from RNAcentral.
CCCCUAGAUGUUCUGGGCCGCACGCGCGCUACACUGAACAGUUCAACAAGUCUUAACCUUGGCCGAUAGGUCUGGGUAAUCUUUGAACGCUGUUCGUGAUUGGGAUAGACCUUCGCAAUUAUGGGUCUUCAACGAGGAAUUCCUAGUAAACGCAAGUCAUCAGCUUGCAUUGAUUACGUCCCUGCCCUUUGUACACACCGCCCGUCGCACCUACCGAUUGAAUGGUCCGGUGAAAUCUCGGGACGGCGGCUUGGUCGCUUGCGUCCGACUGCUGAAACUUGAUUAAACCAUAUCAUUUAGAGGAAGGUGAAGUCGUAACA